RNAcentral lists this transfer RNA (76 nucleotides) under Actinomyces urogenitalis. Its description in RNAcentral is "tRNA-Glu". It matches the Rfam family "tRNA". From Rfam's summary of the family: Transfer RNA (tRNA) molecules are approximately 80 nucleotides in length. Their secondary structure includes four short double-helical elements and three loops (D, anti-codon, and T loops). Lineage: Bacteria; Bacillati; Actinomycetota; Actinomycetes; Actinomycetales; Actinomycetaceae. The record is from RNAcentral. RNAcentral also lists the same sequence under 2 other names.
GCCCCGUUCGUCUAGCGGCCUAGGACACCGCCCUCUCACGGCGGCAGCACCGGUUCAAAUCCGGUACGGGGUACCA